CAGAAAAUAGUUUAUAUAAAAUAUUAGUUUUGGAGAUUAAAGAUGGAAUGAUUUUCUUUUCUGA
RNAcentral lists this transfer RNA (64 nucleotides) under Scolytinae sp. BMNH 1040174. RNAcentral describes it as "tRNA-Pro". The record is from RNAcentral. Lineage: Eukaryota; Metazoa; Arthropoda; Insecta; Coleoptera; Curculionidae.